Molecule: ribosomal RNA, 152 nt
Filed under: uncultured bacterium
Lineage: Bacteria
Description: partial 16S ribosomal RNA
Rfam family: Bacterial small subunit ribosomal RNA
Source: RNAcentral
CCUACGGGAGGCAGCAGCAAGGAAUAUUGUGCAAUGGGCGAAAGCCUGACACAGCGACGCCGCGUGGGGGAAGAAGGCCUUCGGGUUGUAAACCCCUUUUCUCAGGGAAGAAUAAUGACGGUACCUCAGGAAUAAGCCUCGGCUAACUACGU